AACGAACGCUGGCGGCAUGCCUAACACAUGCAAGUCGAACGAGACCUUCGGGUCUAGUGGCGCACGGGUGCGUAACGCGUGGGAACCUGCCUUUAGGUUCGGAAUAACUCAGAGAAAUUUGAGCUAAUACCGGAUGAUGUCUUCGGACCAAAGAUUUAUCGCCUUUAGAUGGGCCCGCGUUGGUUUAGCUAGUUGGUGUGGUAAAGGCCUACCAAGGCGACGAUCCAUAGCUGGUCUGAGAGGAUGAUCAGCCACACUGGGACUGAGACACGGCCCAGACUCCUACGGGAGGCAGCAGUGGGGAAUAUUGGACAAUGGGCGAAAGCCUGAUCCAGCAAUGCCGCGUGAGUGAUGAAGGCCUGAGGGUUGUAAAGCUCUUUUACCCGAGAUGAUAAUGACAGUAUCGGGAGAAUAAGCUCCGGCUAACUCCGUG
This 433-nucleotide ribosomal RNA is filed under the name uncultured bacterium. RNAcentral describes it as "partial 16S ribosomal RNA". It matches the Rfam family "Bacterial small subunit ribosomal RNA", at positions 29 to 507 of the family's 1533-position model. The record is from RNAcentral.